Molecule: ribosomal RNA, 486 nt
Filed under: uncultured bacterium
Lineage: Bacteria
Description: partial 16S ribosomal RNA
Rfam family: Bacterial small subunit ribosomal RNA
Source: RNAcentral
GAUGAACGCUAGCGAUAGGCUUAACACAUGCAAGUCGAGGGGCAGCACAAGGUAGCUUGCUAUCUGGUGGCGACCGGCGCACGGGUUCGUAAAGCGUAUGCAACUUGCCCUAUACAGGAGGAUAACCCGUCGAAAGACGGACUAAUACUGCGUAUGCUCACAACUUGGCAUCAAGUGGUGAGGAAAGAAAUUCGGUAUAGGAUAGGCAUGCGUCCCAUUAGCUUGUUGGUUAGGGAACGGCUCACCAAGGCAACGAUGGGUAGGGGAACUGAGAGGUUUAUCCCCCACACUGGUACUGAGACACGGACCAGACUCCUACGGGAGGCAGCAGUGAGGAAUAUUGGUCAAUGGGCGCAAGCCUGAACCAGCCAAGUCGCGUGAAGGAUGACUGUCUUAUGGAUUGUAAACUUCUUUUAUACGGGAAUAACAAGAGUCACGUGUGACUCCCUGCAUGUACCGUAUGAAUAAGCAUCGGCUAACUCCGUG